UGAGCAAUCUGCCCUUCUCUUCGGAAUAAGCGUUGGAAACGACGUCUAAUGCCGAAUACGACCUCCUUUCGCAUGAUCGGAGGUGGAAAGCUCCGGCGGAGAAGGAUGAGCUCGCGGCCUAUCAGCUAGUUGGUGUGGGUAAUGGCCCACAAGGCGACGACGGGUAGCCGGCCUGAGAGGGUGACCGGCCACACUGGGACUGAGACCACGGCCCAGACCUCCGUACGGGAGGNAGCG
RNAcentral lists this ribosomal RNA (237 nucleotides) under uncultured bacterium. RNAcentral describes it as "partial 16S ribosomal RNA". It matches the Rfam family "Bacterial small subunit ribosomal RNA", at positions 118 to 353 of the family's 1533-position model. The record is from RNAcentral.